This 11030-nucleotide long non-coding RNA is filed under the name Vitis vinifera (wine grape). RNAcentral describes it as "long non-coding RNA (VVIN_LNC006145)". The record is from RNAcentral. Lineage: Eukaryota; Viridiplantae; Streptophyta; Magnoliopsida; Vitales; Vitaceae.
AAUAAGAAGGUGCGUUCCUAACCUAUUAAGAGUUAGUUAAUUUUGCCAAUGUUCGAGAAAAGCUUAGGUUGGAGGGAGAGGAUAGUUGUACAUACUAUAUCCGGAAGCUAAUCUCAUUAACACUUAGCUCAUUAUGAAAGAGUUUGAUUUGGAACCUUGAGAGUAGCGAUUCUUUUGAUACUUAAUUGCAUAAUCUCCACUCUUUGUACUUUUUGUUUAAGUUUUAGUUUUGACAACUCCUAUUGUAUUUUGAAUCUUCAUAUCUUUAGUUUACCAUGUGAGAUGUGUUUUGAUAUCAGUCAUGCCACUCAAUUAUUUUUUGGAAUGAUUUGCAUGACCUCUUUUAUGUAUAUUAUUACGUUUGCUUAAUUUUUCUCUCCUUAAUUGCUAAGGGACUAGCAAUAUGUCGGUUGGGGGGAGUGAUUACUACUCAAAACAUGCUAUUUUGUAGCUUGUUAUUAGCUCUUUUAAGCACCCUUGAGUAGUAAUUAUUACCUUUUAACUCAAUUAACAUGUUAGGGACCCUUGCAAUCAUUUCUAAUCAAUUUGUGUAAAGUUUUGGUGCUUUUUGAUAGCUUUAUGCUCACCAAAGCAAUUUAAGAAUGAGGGAGAGCUAUAUAUAAUUCAUGGCAAAGCUUUUGGAAGCUCAAAUUUAAGAAUAAACCAAGCUUUGGAGCCUCAUAAUCCUUUGCCUUAGUCGUUCAAAGUAUGCAAGGAAAGAACAAUGGAGAAGAGGAAAACAGGGUGAUGAAAAUAGGGGACACAGCUGCAGUCUUUCAUCGCACUUUUGGAGCACUUCCCGAAGUCCAUUUUCUACAUUCUAUAUACCAUUUCAAAGCUCAGAAAGUCAAGAAUCCAAUGAUUCAAACCAUGUACGAUUUGGAGCUGAAAUGAGGAAGAUAUGGCCUCUGGAAGACAACUGCAUCAAGCUGAGGGACAAUUUCGCACGAUGGAAAUCAAGGUGCGAAUUCCUCAGUCCAAAGUGUGGGAAUUUCGCACACCUGAGUCCAAAGUGCGAAAUUGGAACUGCAACGUGCGAAAAUUGGAUAUUUUUGCCGACUCUUUUUCUUCUGAUAUUUUUGUGUCUAAAUUUCCAUUUUCUCCUUGUAUUCAGCCACUCAUGUAAUUCCUUAGCUAGGAAGUAUCCAAGGAAGGGUAAAAUUACCUUCCUAUAUAAAUUCUCUUGUAAACACUGAAGAGGAAUCUCGGGAAGCUUUCUCCAGGAGACCAACUGAUGUAAAUUCUACACUUAGAAUAUAUAUACAGAGCUCUUUUGCUUUCUUUUUCUCUCUACUAUUUUCUAUUUUCUUGGAAGCCAAACAGCCUCUGAGGAUGUUUUCCCAGAGGAUGAGAGGCUAAACUUAUAGUUUCUUGGAGUAAAGGAAGCUAGGUGAAAAGUCCAGAUUAAGAGGUGGAGCGUUUCCGUGCAUUAAAUUCAGGUGGUUGGAGUCCAUAAAUGGUUUCUAAAUUCAAAGUUUUGCUUUAAAUCCCUUAGAAUCACUUUGACUAGCCAAUACAUGGUAAGCUUCAGGUCUCUGUGGAUGCUUAUUGCUAAAUCCAUAUCAGUCCAUUAGUUAUCAUGUACGAGCUAGUGGAAAGUGAUUCAAGGUGAUAACCCAUAGUGUCUUAAGCCAUUAAUGGAUCUCGACUACCAUCUCUAUUGACUUUUUUUGGAUUAAAUCUUCAUUGUCAAACCUAUACCGGUUCGGGAAAUAACUAUAGGUUAAAACCCCAAUGCGAGGAGAAAAAUCCGGAAUUUUCCACUUUGCAUCCUGAACUUGAACCUAGCAACCUUUAGCUCCGGGAGACUUUCUUUCUUCUAUUUUUACUUAGUUUUAUGUGAGUUUAGUUUCAAUCACCACUUCCAAAACAAUUUUAUUUUCUUUUAAAUUUCAAGUUUGUGCUAAAGGAAAUCAUCAGAAUCAAUUUCUAAUUUAGAUUCUGUCACUGAUAGAGUGAAAACCCAUCCCUGAGUUCGACCCUAGAACUGCUAUACUAUAGUAGCUUUGCUACGCCAGUAUAAGGUCAUAGGAUUUAUAAAUGUUUUUUAUUAAAAGACCCGGCUGGAACCAAACGAAUCACAGAGCAUCCAGAGGAGCCACAACAGGUUGAGAUACCUACGGAUAUCAGAGCACCUACCCCUGCAGUGCCCUCUACAGGACCUAUGCCUGAGGUUGUGUCUUCUGUUCUCCUGCCACUCCCAGGACUCCACCAGUUGUACCAGCUGCAUCCGAGCCUCAUCCAUCUGAGCAUAGUAUAGCCAUAUCCAUUUCAGAGUUCAGAGGCCUAUGUCAUACUUUGCAGACAUUGACCACUACUAAGAGCAUCCUGACCCAACAGAUGGUGGCCAUACAUGCACAUCAGGAUCAGCUUAUCGCCACCCAGACUCAGCAUACUGCCAUCCUUAGGCAGAUACAAUAGUAUUUGGGUAUUCUAUCGCCACUUGAGCACGAUAUGCCUAUCCCAUCAGAGCUUAUAGAUCCAUCCCAGGGCCCUCCUCUACAAGAGCAGACUGUGCCCCCUGAGGAGACGACUACAGGAGAGAUAGAGGCAUCCAUCUCGAGUAUUUAGACUUCUACAGUCGAGCCAUCGUCUCCACAUGAUCCUCCCACCACCAUCUGAUCAUUUAUCUGUCUUCUUUUUUGUAUUUCUUUACUUUAGUAGAACAUGUAAUCCCAUGUUUUUGAUGUUUUAUAUAUUGGGAUUGAAUGUAUUACUUGUUUUUGCUCCAUAGUGUACUUUUUUAAAGUAAUACGUGUCUAUCAUUUUUUUAGUAUACUUGGCAUAAUCUUAUUUUAUUUCCUCUACUCAUGAUUUUUGUUGUUUUUUGAAACAUGUGGAUUCUCUAAUUCUACUCAAACUCCAUGUCACUCAGGAGACACCACUUCCUCCCUGUAUUUUCAAUCACUUUUGCCACAUUGAGGGCAAUGUUCAGCUUGGUUGGAGGGAAAAGAGUUGAGGAAGGAAGUUCUGUUUUUUUUAAGGCUAAGUUAUUUUGGUAAUUUAGUUGUUUUUGCUUAAUUCUUUAAAUUUCUAAGUUUUUAUUGUACUCUCCAUGGUUAUUAAGGAAAAAUUUUCAAACUAAAAAGGGAGAAAUUGAAUUUUUGUCUAUUUACUUGACUUAGAGUUUGUAUUAUGGUUACUAAAGUUGAUGAAAUGUUGAAACUUCUAUUGAAUUCAACCUUAUGUCUUCCAUUUUAAGCUAUUCACACACUAUGCACAAUAGGUUUCGAUUAUAAGAUGAAAAACUAUUUCCCUCUUGGAGUUAAGGAAGCUGGGUAAGGUGCCAAAUGCAAAAAUUGAAAGUUUUGUUGUUUAAGCUUUUAAUGAAUAGAAAGUGUGACCUGUUAAUGGUUUCUAUGUUUUUAGUUAACUUAAAACGCCUUUAAAUUACCUGGGCCAACACUUGGUAAGGCAAGUGAUCUUCGUCCAUUGAGAUGCACUAGUUUAUCUCUUGUGAGCCUUUGGGAGGUGGUUCAAAGGUAGGAUUUUCUAGAAUAGCCAACACUUGGUAAGCUUUUGGACUCUAAGGAGACAUCCAUUAGUUAUCUCUUGCGAGCUUUUGAAGGGAAAUCCAAGGUUAAGGAUCACCUUGAAUGGCAAAUGCUAGGUGAAAGGCAUGAGCCAUUGCAAGAUGAAUUAGUGAGAGGGAUUUAGUGUUUGAAUCCAUAAAAGGGAAGCAUCUGUACCACAUCAGUUCGAGAAAUAACAAUAUGUUAAAUCUCCAAUGCGAGGUAAAGAUUCAAGUGAUCAGAACUCUAAUUUUGUAGUAGGAGCCUGACCCUAGUGAUCCAAAAACUCCAAGAAACACUUUUCUUUAUUUGUAAUUUCAGUUACUAUUUUUGGUUAACUUAAAACCAAUCCUUUUUCAACCAAAGAUUAUGUUUUCUUUUAAAGCUAACCUUGAAAUGAAAAAACACCAAUUCAACUUUGAAUUAAUAUCAGGAAUAAGUUGAAAACCCUUCCCAAUGAACGAUCAUAGAGCCACUAUGCUAGCUAGCUGAGGCUAUCCUAGUACAUGGUGAUAUAGGUUAUAAAUUUUGUUGAUUACUCCCAUUUGAGGACCAAAAUCAAGGUACACUAGUUAAUUGAACACCAAUCAACAGGACAUACACCAGCUGGGCACGAAAUCACUCACAACCCCAAGUCAUUCAUGUCAUGCACAAACCUGAGGUGUUCAUAGCAUUUAGAGCCCUAAGCUCAUGACCCGAAGUCUUUUGUGUCAUCAACAACCCUAAGAUGUUCAUAACAUUUAAAGCCCAGCGCUCACGACCAAGAGUUAUUAAAGUCAACCACAACCUAGAGUUGUUAAUAGAAUCUAGAGCCUUGGACUCACAACCUAAAGUAGGUGAUGUAAUCCACAACCCUGAGUUGUUCAUAAAAUCAAGAGCCCUAAGCUCACGACCUAUAGUCUUUCAUAUCAUCGACAUCCCUGAGCUAUUUAUAGCAUUAAGAGGCUUGAGGUCACUAUCGAGAGUCAUUCAUAUCAAUCGAAUCUGACAGUUGUUCAUAGCAUCUACAACCUUGAGCUCACGACCCAAAGUAGCUCAUGUCAUCCACAACCGUAAGUUGUUAAUAGAAACUAGAGCCUUGAGCUCACGACCUGAAGUUAUUCAUGUCAGCCACAGUCUAAAGCUAUUCAUAACAUUAAGAGCCCUUAUAUCAUGACUCAAAGUAGCCCAUGUUACCCACAACCCAUAAUGGUUCAUAGCAUUCAGUGCUCUGAGUUCAUGACCCAAAGUAAUUCAUAUCAACCUAACUUAGACUUUUUCAUAGCAUCUAAAGCCCUGAUAUCACGACCUAAAGUAGCUAAUGUCAUCCAUAGCCCAAAGCUAUUCAUAAAAUCUAGAGCCUUAAUCUUGCAACUCAAAGUAGCUGAUGUCAUCCAUAGUCUUGAGUUGUUUAUAGCAUCAAGAGCCCUAAGCUGAGGACCUAUAUAUGUCAUCGACAAUCCUAAGCUGUUAAUAGCAUCUACAACUCUAAUUUCCUAAUAGGGAGUUGAUCAUGUCAACCAUAGCACAGAGUUGUUCAUAGCAUUUAAAGCUUUGAGCUCACAACCCAGAUUCAUUCAUGUCAUCCACAGUUCUGAGCUCUUCAUAGAAUCAUGAGCCUUGAGCAUACGACCUAGAGUCUUUCACAGCAUCGACAACCCAUAGUUGUUCAUAGCAUUUAAAGUCCUGAUCUCAAGACCUAGAGUGGCUCAUGUCAUCAGAAGCGUUAAGUUGUUCAUGGCAUCUAAACCAUUGAGCUCACGACUCAGUGUAAUUCAUGCCAACCACAACCUAGAGUUGUUCAUAACAUCUAAAGCCUUGAGCUCAAGACCUAGGGUUGUUCAUGUUUUCCAUAGCCCUAAGAUAAUCAUAGAAUCUAGUGGCUUGAGCUCAUUACCCGGUCUCAUUCAUGUCAUCCACAACCUUAAGUUGUUCAUAACAUUUAUAACCUCAAGCUCACGACCCAGAGUCUUUCAUGUUAUCGACAACCCUAAGCUGUUCAUAACAUCUAAAGCUCGGAGCUCACAACCCGGAGUCAUUCAAGUCAACCACAACCUAGAGUUGUGAUUCAUUCCCAAUUGGUGUACCUUUGAUUCAGUCCUCAAACGGGAGUUAUCAACAAAAUUUAUAAACCUAAUUCACCAUAUACUAGGGUAGCAUAUCUAGCAUAGCAUAGUGGUUCUAGGAUCAUCCAUAGGGAUGAGUUUUCAUUUCCCAUGUGAUAUUAGUUACAACACUGAAAUGAUGGUUUUUCUUUUUUGAGUUAGCUUUAAAAGAAAACAUAAAGUUGGUUGAAAAAGGUUUGGUUUUAAUCUAACCAAAAAUAGUAACUGAUAUUAAUUAUAAAGAAAAGGUUUCUUAGAGUUUUAGGCCACUAAGUUCAGGUUCCUUAUACAAAAUGGGAGAUUCCGGAUCUUUUCCUCGCAUUAGGGAUUUAGCCAAUAGCUAUCCUCCCAACCGGUGUGUUACAGCUGCUUCCCAUUAAUGGUUUCAACGCUAAAUCCCUCUCAUCGAUGCAUCUUGCAAUGGCUCGUACCAUUCACCUAGUAUUUGCCAUUCAAGGUGAUCCUUAACCUUGGAUUACCCUUCAAAAGCUCGUAGGAGAUAACUAAUGGAUGUCUUUAGGGAGUCCAAAAGCUUACCAAGUAUUGGCAAUUCUAGGCAGUCCUACUUUUAAACCACCUCCCAAAGGCUCGCAAGAGAUAACUAAUGGAUCUCUAUGGAUUGAGUCCGAAAAGUUACCAAGUGUUGGCCCAGGUGAUUAUAAGGGAUUUUAAGUUAACUAAAAAUAUAAAAACCAUUAGCUGGUCACAACUUCCUCUUCAUUAAAAACCAAAACAAGGAAAACUUCUACCUUUGUAUCUGGAUCCCUUACCUAGCUUCCUUCAGUCCAAGAAACAAAAAGCCUAGCCACUCAUCCUCUGAGGCCUCAUAGGAUGUUUGGCUAGAAAGAAAAUAAAUACAAAAUGAGUAGGUAAGGUAGAGCAAAGCUCUAUAUAUUUCUUACUAAUAGAAUUUACCCACACACACCCGUUCUCUGGAAUUUCUUUCGAGAUAUAUACAGAAGAUAUUUUCUAAGAAAUAUCAAGAGAGAUAUUUUUAACCUCCCUUUAGAUAUCCUAAAUAUCUUUAGCUGAUUACAAGGAAAAUAGGUAAUUACACAAAAUAUCUUGAGGUAAAAAUCUAACGGAGUUGGUGCAAAAAUAUUUGAAGAUUACAUGAAGAUUUCGCAAGUCAGAUAUGAAGUUGCAAAAUUUUCGCAAGUGGAAAAGGAGUUGCGAAAUUUUCGCAAGUGGUUGAUGGGCUUGCGAAAUUCAUUUUUAGCUUGGUGCAGUUGUCUUCAAAUGGCCAUAACUUCUUCAUUUUAGCUCCGAUUUGCACAUCGUUUAAAGCGUUUGACUCCUAACUUCCCAAGCUUUGAAACGAUAUAUAGUAUGUAUAUAAUGGACUCUAAUAAGUGCUCUAAAUUUUUCUUGCAGCUGCUGUCCUUUUGAAUUUCACAUAGCAUGCCAAGAUUUCGCAAUGCCUUGCCAAAUUGCUUCAUGUUGGAUUUCUCUCUCCGUUUUUCUACCUUGCAUCUCUUGAUUGGCUUGGAAGCCUAUUUCCAAGGGUUGCACAAAAUUCUCCCUCAUUCUUGGCUUGCUUCAAUGAUAAAAAAGCUACCAAAAACACCAAAACUAGCCAAAAACUGAUUAGUAAUACUUGCAAGGGUCCUUAAUGUGCCAAUUGAGUUAGAAGGUAAUAAAUACUACUCAAAAGUGUUUAAAAGAGUUUAUAACAAGCUAUAAAAGAGAAAUUUUUGAGUAGUAAUCAAGUUGUUCAUAGCAUCUAGAGCCUAGAGCUCACAACCCAAAGUAGUUAAUCUGAUCCACAACCCUAAGCUAUUCGUAGCAUUUAGAGCCUUGAGCUCAUGACUAAGAGUAAAUCAUGUCAUCCACAACCAUGAGUUGUUCAUAACAUCAAGAGCUCUGAGCUCACGAACUGUACUCUUUCAUGUCAUCGACAACCCUGAGCUAUUCAUAGCAUCAAAAGGCUUAAGCUCACGACUCAUAGUAGCUCAUGUCAUUCACAACCUUGAGCUUUUCAUAACAUCUAAAGCCCUGUGAUCAUGACCCCAAGUCAUUUAUAUCAACCACGGUAGAGAGUUGUUCAUAGCAUCUAGAGCUUGAGCUCAUAACCCAAUGUAGCUCAACUCAUCCACAGCCUUGAGCUGCUCAUAGCAUCUAGAACCUCAAGCUAUCGCCUUGGAGUCAUUCAUGUCAACCAUAGCUCUAAGUUGUUCAUAGUAUCAUGAUCAUUGAGCUCACUACCUAGAGUCAUUCAUAUCAACCAUAACCCAUAUUGUUCAUAGCAUUUAGAGCCCCAAGCUCAGUACCCAUAGUAGCUCAUGUCAUCCAUAGCCCUAAGCUAUUUAUAGUAUCUUAAACCUUGAGCUCACGGGAUCUUAAGUCGUUCAUAUCAUCCACAACUCAUGACCCAAACUCGUUCAUGUCAACCACAACCUUGAGGUGUUCAUAGUAUCUUGAGUCGUGAGCUAAUGACCUAGAGUCGUUCAUGUUAUCAAUAACCUUGAGCUAGUGACACAAAGUCAUUCAUAUCAUCCAUAGCAUUGAUCUGCUCAUAGAAUUCAGAGGCUUAAGCUCACGGGAUCCUUAGUCAUUCAUAUCAUCCACAAUGUUAAGUUGUUCAAAGCAUCCAUAUCCUUUAGCUCAUCACCUGGAGUGGCACAUAUCAUCCAUAGGCUUAAGGUGUUCAUAGCAUCUAGAGCCCUAAGCACAGGACUCGGAUUUGUUCAUGUCAUCAACAACCCUGAGCUCACGGGAUCCUAAGUUGUUCAUGUCAUCAUAAGCAUUAUGUUAUUCACAGAAUCUAGAGUUGUGAGCUCAUGACUUGGAAUCAUUAUAUUAUCCACAACCCUAAGCUAUUCAUAGAAAUUAGAGCCAUAAGCUCACGACCAAGAAUCGUUUGUAUUAUCCAUAACUCUAAGUUGUUCAUAGUAUCUUAUGGUCUGAGCUCACGGGAUCCUGAGUCGUUCAUACCAUCUACAACUCUGAGUUGCUCAUAGCAUCUAGAGUCUUGAGCUCACAACCCGAAGUUGUUCAUGUCAACCACAACCUUGAGUUGUUCAUGGUAUCUUAAGUCAUGAGCUAAUAACUCAGAGUCAUUCAUGCCAUCCACCACCCUUAGCUCGUGCCUUAGAAUCAUUCAUAGCAUCCACAGCCCCAAGUUGCUCAUAGCAUUUAGAGCCCUUAGCUCACAGGAUAUCAAGUCAUUCAUAUCAUUCACAACGCUUAGUUGUUCAAAGCAUCCAUAGACUUAAGCUCAUGACAUAGAGUGGCACAUAUCAUCCAUAGCCUUGAGCCUGUUCAUAGAAUCUAGAGCCCUGAGCACACAACCCAAAGUUAUUCAUGCCAUCAACAACCCUAAGUUGUUCAUAGCAUUUAGACUCCUAAGCCCACAACUCCAAAUAUUUCAUGUCAUCUAUAGCCCUAAGAUUUUUAUAAAAUCUAAAGCCCUAAGAUCACGGCCUGUAGUCAUUCAUGUCAUCCCUAACCCUGACUUUUCAUAGCAUCUGAAGCCUUGAGCUCAUGACUCGGAUUCAUUCAUGUCCACCAUAACCCUGAGUUGUUAUAUCAUCUAGAGCCUAGAGCACACCACUCAAAGUUGUUCAUGUCAUCCAUAACCCUGAGCUAUUCAUAACAUCUAGAGCCUUAAACUCCCAACCCAAAGUAGUUCAUGUCAUCCAUAACCCUGAGUUGUUCAUAUCAUCUAGUGCCCUAAGAUCACAACUUGAAGUCAUUUAUGUAAUCCACAACCUUGAGUUGUUCAUAGCAUUUAAAGCCUUGAGCUCAUGACCCAAAGUCGUUGAUGUCCACCACAACCUUGAUCUAUUCACAGCAUUUAGAGCCCUGAGCAAACGACCCUCGGUCAUUCAUGUCAUCAAUAAUCCUGAGCUAUUGAUAGAAUUUGGAGCCAUAAUCCCAUAAUCCAAAGUUGUUCAUGUCAUACAUAGCCUUGAGUUGUUCAUAACAUCUUGAGCCUUGUGCACACAACCUGGAGUCGUUCAUGUCAUCUAUAGCUCUGACUUAUUUAUAGCAAUCAAAUUCAUAUUCUCAUGUCCAAGAAUGAAUAAUAUCAUCAUCAGCCAUGAUUUGUUUAUAGCAUCUUGAGGCUUGAGCUCACAGUAUCCCGAGUUAUUGAUAUCAUCCACAGUUUUGAGCUGCUCAUAACAUCUAGAGCCUUAAGCUCAUAACCUUGAGUCAUUCAUGUCAACCACAGCCUUGAGAUAUUCAUAGUAUCUAGAACCAUGGGCUUAUGACCUAAAGUCAUUCAUGUCAUCCACAACCCUCAGCUCAUGAUGCAGAAUCAUUCAUAUCAUCCACAACCCUGAGCUGCUCAUAGCAUCUAGAGGCCUUAGCUCACGGGAUCCCAAGUCAUUCAUAUCAUCCAUAAUGUUGAGUUGUUCAAAGCAUCAACAACCUUAAGCUCACGACUAAGAGUAGCACAUAUUAUCUAAAGCCUUGACUUGUUCAUAUCAUUUAAAGGCCUAAACUCACGACCUAGAGUCAUUCAUAUCAACCACAAGCCUUAAUUAUUCGUAGUAUCUAGAGCCCUGAGCUCACGACAAAGAGCCAUUCAUGUCAUCCAUAACCUUGUUCUAUUCAUAGACUCUAGAGCAUUAAGCUCACGUCCGAAGUCAACAUUUGCUCUUGAAGCUUCAUCCAUUAAAGACUUAGCAAAGGGGGAAGGUCAUCUUUCUACGGCAAUGAAGCUUGCUCUUUCGGCCUCUAUCUACUACAUAUGGCAAGAACGAAAUAGAAGGUAUGAUUGGUCGACAAGGUCGAUGAAAAGGGCCCUUGCUACUUAUUGCUGUUGUGAAAAUGCAUCAAAGAUAGUAUCUGAUCUCCAUGCGAUGCGGCAUUCUGACGUUACGGCAGGGCAAUAUUAGUACAGUAUACCGGGGUCCCCGGCCAGAACCACACGUGCAAGUUUCCCUGCAUGUGGCUCGUCCGUGCUUUCCGAGGCGCUACCUGUGACUCAGCAUGGGAGAAGGGGGUGGAACUGCACACUUGCGUGUUCAGAGCAUUGUCCGAGUGAGUAGGCAGCGCCUACCUUACUUUCUAUUUAAAUAAAGGAAAGACCUGAACACGAUUCCAUAACACAGCUAGGCUUAAGGGUCCUUGGACUUUAUUGAAUUUCCUUUUAGUCCGAUCAAUAGAUAUCAAGUCCGGGAAGGAAAGAGAAUGCGAGUAAAGAUUAGUAGAAGGACAGUAGGAUUUAAUUAGUUGGACCAGUAGCAAUGCCAAGGAUAGAAUCAGUCUAUAAACAAACCUACGUACAAAAUUGUACUAAACAGAAAAAAAGUAGUUAAUCUGACCAAAAUAAAAAAGAGUCUUCGAUAGUUGUUAUUCCUAUAAAAUGGAAAAUGCUUAUACAUAUAGGCGUCUAUUCGCGUCUACAUCGUGAUCUGGCCUGGUCGACCCAAUCAUGAUAUUGAAGGAUGGGACCUUUUCUUGAAAAACUGUAGUUUUAGAACCA